This 69-nucleotide transfer RNA is filed under the name Rattus norvegicus (Norway rat). It matches the Rfam family "tRNA". From Rfam's summary of the family: Transfer RNA (tRNA) molecules are approximately 80 nucleotides in length. Their secondary structure includes four short double-helical elements and three loops (D, anti-codon, and T loops). The record is from Rfam by way of RNAcentral. Lineage: Eukaryota; Metazoa; Chordata; Mammalia; Rodentia; Muridae.
GGGGAUUUAGCUCAGUGGUAGAGCGCUUGCCUAGCAAGCACAAGGCCCUGAGUUUGAUCCCCAGCUCCA